RNAcentral lists this ribosomal RNA (301 nucleotides) under uncultured bacterium. RNAcentral's name for it is "partial 16S ribosomal RNA". It matches the Rfam family "Bacterial small subunit ribosomal RNA", at positions 509 to 809 of the family's 1533-position model. The record is from RNAcentral.
CAGUCGCCACGGUAAUACGUAGGUGGCAAGCGUUGUCCGGAAUUAUUGGGCGUAAAGCGCGCGCAGGCGGAUCGGUCAGUCUGUCUUAAAAGUUCGGGGCUUAACCCCGUGAUGGGAUGGAAACUGCCAAUCUAGAGUAUCGGAGAGGAAAGUGGAAUUCCUAGUGUAGCGGUGAAAUGCGUAGAUAUUAGGAAGAACACCAGUGGCGAAGGCGACUUUCUGGACGAAAACUGACGCUGAGGCGCGAAAGCCAGGGGAGCGAACGGGAUUAGAUACCCCUGUAGUCCCUGUCUCUUAUACA